UACCGUGCCGAGUGUGGUGUCAGAAAUGCCCACAAAGUUUGCAUUAGACUUGAACAACUCGUAGCACGGUUUU
This 73-nucleotide non-coding RNA is filed under the name unclassified sequences. The record is from RNAcentral.